AACUCUUCCCCUUUACCAGAUUCAUUUUGCCCGUGGAUUUCUAAACCCAAACUUUCAUUUCCCUUUCCUCUUCUCCCUAACUCACGGUGGCUACCUAUGCUCCGACCACCUCCAUCGAUGGUUGGGCUCUAACCCGAACGAAACUAAACCGGAAUCCCAGCCCUCACCCAUCUAUAUUCCGUCGAGAAAAUCAACAAGGAAGGUGUCAACCGUGAACGAUUAGCCUUGCUGGAUUGUUGGUGAUUGCCGCUAGCUGGCUAAUUUUGCACUCGGUUGCGGUUACAGCUGUUGCCACAUUGGGGAUAAGCACAUGGCUCACAAGGAGAUGACAGCUGAACGUCGAGAGAGGGUGAUGAACGGUGUUGAAGAUACAUUUGGAAUGAACAAGAAUCAAUAAUUUUGCAAAUUCUCUAUUUGAAUAUAGAACGUAGAUGUUUUAUUUAUGGCUUCUUGAAUGAAGAUGUUAAUUUAACAUCAGCCAUCGUCAUUACUAUUUUUUCAAAUUGAUUUGCUU
Molecule: long non-coding RNA, 514 nt
Organism: Hibiscus syriacus
Lineage: Eukaryota; Viridiplantae; Streptophyta; Magnoliopsida; Malvales; Malvaceae
Exons: 3
Source: RefSeq, a predicted model, not a curated record